Molecule: long non-coding RNA, 1034 nt
Filed under: Phoenix dactylifera (date palm)
Lineage: Eukaryota; Viridiplantae; Streptophyta; Magnoliopsida; Arecales; Arecaceae
Description: long non-coding RNA (PDAC_LNC012882)
Source: RNAcentral
GGAAUUUUAACCUUCUCAGCUUGCCCUGUUGUCGUCUCUUAGUCACAGAAGCCGUGCUAACCCAGUUGUUUCUCUUUGUUUCGGGGGAAAUCAGAACAAUUCUGUUUAAAACCUGAAACUAGGAAGUUAUAUAUAGAUGGUGUGGUUUGCAAACUUGCAAACUGAUGAUCCAACUGUGGAACUGUAUUGCAAUGAUCUACUUAUUCUCUUGUGCUACCAAUGAAGGCAGCUGCACAGAUACAUGGCUGAUCUGUUACUUGUUACUUAUGCAAAGUAAAUGCCAUCCCAUUCAAUAUAAUUUCACGUACAGUUCCGUAAUCAAGGACCUCUACCUUGUAGUUUGAGCUUCUGCUUGCUUGAUUUUCAUCUGGCCUUCUACAUGUCUCCAAGAUAUAUUUGCUCAUUGGGAACAUGAUGAUGAGUGCUCCAGACCUUGACCAGCCUGGAAGCUGAACCCAUGCUAUCUGAUGUCUCUAAACUAUAGCCCACGCACAGCAGCCACCACGUUGGAACUAUGGGGAGCGGAGGGUCCUUUGGCAACGAGGCAAGCAUGUGGAAAGGAAGAGGGUCGCCAUGAGUGGGAUGAAGAAUAGUUUGGUUGCCAUGAUGAUGGAGGAAGCAGGUGACAUUCGGAAUUGGGGGCAGAAGCUACACAUGUAGAUUGGGCAUGAAGUCGUGGAUGUGGGAGGUGGUCCGACGCCAUGCAUGUAGGUUCGGCACGAAGUAGAGCAAUUGCCUUGUAUGGGUUUUUUCUCAUUCAAAGAGAGUUAUUUCAUUUGAAAGUAUGGUGGUUCGCUUUCACCGUUGUAGUUUACCAAUUUUUUCUUUUCUUUCGUUUAACUUCAUCUGUGGUUGGGACCUAUCAACUGGUAUAAGAGCCAUUACGAACAAGGAGAGUAUCGAGCGGAUGGAACCCGAGCUAAGCAUCCUACAUAAGGAGUUGGCGUGGCUUGGAGGAGUGGGUGGAUGGGCGGCUUGUGGAGGUCUUGGAGGCCGUUCAUUAUCUUACUGCAUAGCCGCAAUUGUCGUUCGAG